GACGAACGCUGGCGGCGUGCUUAACACAUGCAAGUCGAACGGAAAGGCCCUGCUUUCGUGGGGUGCUCGAGUGGCGAACGGGUGAGUAACACGUGAGUAACCUGCCCUUGACUUUGGGAUAACUUCAGGAAACUGGGGCUAAUACCGGAUAGGAGCUCCUGCUGCAUGGUGGGGGUUGGAAAGUUUCGGCGGUUGGGGAUGGACUCGCGGCUUAUCAGCUUGUUGGUGGGGUAGUGGCUUACCAAGGCUUUGACGGGUAGCCGGCCUGAGAGGGUGACCGGCCACAUUGGGACUGAGAUACGGCCCAGACUCCUACGGGAGGCAGCAGUGGGGAAUAUUGCACAAUGGGCGGAAGCGUGAUGCAGCAACGCCGCGUGCGGGAUGACGGCCUUCGGGUUGUAAACCGCUUUCGCCUGUGACGAAGCGUGAGUGACGGUAAUGGGUAAAGAAGCACCGGCUAACUACGUG
RNAcentral lists this ribosomal RNA (468 nucleotides) under uncultured bacterium. Its description in RNAcentral is "partial 16S ribosomal RNA". It matches the Rfam family "Bacterial small subunit ribosomal RNA", at positions 28 to 507 of the family's 1533-position model. The record is from RNAcentral.